GCUGGGAUGAUGAAAUCGGUAGACAUACCUGACUUAAAAUCAGGAGGCGGACAUUCCGUCGUGCGGGUUCGAGUCCCGCUCCCAGCACCU
RNAcentral lists this transfer RNA (90 nucleotides) under bacterium. RNAcentral's name for it is "tRNA-Leu". It matches the Rfam family "tRNA". Rfam says of the family: Transfer RNA (tRNA) molecules are approximately 80 nucleotides in length. The record is from RNAcentral. RNAcentral also lists the same sequence under 1 other name.